Non-coding RNA from Dunaliella salina, 78 nucleotides. The record is from the annotation of a GenBank genome assembly. NCBI's taxonomy places the organism in Eukaryota, Viridiplantae, Chlorophyta, Chlorophyceae, Chlamydomonadales, Dunaliellaceae.
GCAGCCUUUGUCUGUACAGAGUGGUCAGGACCCAAGCUUGUGGCGCUUGUAACACAGGUUCAAAUCCCGUAGGCAGCA